AUUGAACGCUGGCGGCAGGCCUAACACAUGCAAGUCGAACGGUAACAGGAAGAAGCUUGCUUCUUUGCUGACGAGUGGCGGACGGGUGAGUAAUGUCUGGGGAACUGCCUGAUGGAGGGGGAUAACUACUGGAAACGGUAGCUAAUACCGCAUAACGUCGCAAGACCAAAGAGGGGGACCUUCGGGCCUCUUGCCAUCGGAUGUGCCCAGAUGGGAUUAGCUCGUAGGUGGGGUAACGGCUCACCUAGGCGACGAUCCCUAGCUGGUCUGAGAGGAUGACCAGCCACACUGGAACUGAGACACGGUCCAGACUCCUACGGGAGGCAGCAGUGGGGAAUAUUGCACAAUGGGCGCAAGCCUGAUGCAGCCAUGCCGCGUGUAUGAAGAAGGCCUUCGGGUUGUAAAGUACUUUCAGCGGGGAGGAAGGGAGUAAAGUUAAUACCUUUGCUCAUUGACGUUACCCGCAGAAGAAGCACCGGCUAACUCCGUG
Molecule: ribosomal RNA, 490 nt
Filed under: uncultured bacterium
Lineage: Bacteria
Description: partial 16S ribosomal RNA
Rfam family: Bacterial small subunit ribosomal RNA
Source: RNAcentral